UACAGAGGUCCCAAGCGUUGUUCGGAUUCACUGGGCGUAAAGGGUGCGUAGGCGGCUCAGUAAGUCGGGUGUGAAACCUCCAGGCUCAACCUGGAGACGCCACCCGAUACUGCUGUGGCUAGAGUCCAGUAGGGGAGUGUGGAAUUCCCGGUGUAGCGGUGAAAUGCGCAGAUAUCGGGAGGAACACCAGCGGCGAAGGCGGCACUCUGGGCUGGUACUGACGCUGAGGAGCGAAAGCGUGGGUAGCAAACAGG
Molecule: ribosomal RNA, 254 nt
Filed under: uncultured bacterium
Lineage: Bacteria
Description: partial 16S ribosomal RNA
Rfam family: Bacterial small subunit ribosomal RNA
Source: RNAcentral